RNAcentral lists this small nuclear RNA (95 nucleotides) under Rhinolophus ferrumequinum (greater horseshoe bat). The record is from RNAcentral. Lineage: Eukaryota; Metazoa; Chordata; Mammalia; Chiroptera; Rhinolophidae.
GUGCUCACUUUAGCAGCACAUAUUCUAAAAUUGGAAUGACAGAGAAGAUUAGCAUAGAGGAUGACAUGCAAAUUCAUGAAGAGUUGCAUAUUUUU